This 695-nucleotide ribosomal RNA is filed under the name Enterococcus sp. FBPers-11_02-03. RNAcentral's name for it is "bacterial SSU rRNA". It matches the Rfam family "Bacterial small subunit ribosomal RNA", at positions 73 to 747 of the family's 1533-position model. The record is from RNAcentral. Lineage: Bacteria; Bacillati; Bacillota; Bacilli; Lactobacillales; Enterococcaceae.
CCGGAGCUUGCUCCACCGGAAAAAGAGGAGUGGCGAACGGGUGAGUAACACGUGGGUAACCUGCCCAUCAGAAGGGGAUAACACUUGGAAACAGGUGCUAAUACCGUAUAACAAUCGAAACCGCAUGGUUUUGAUUUGAAAGGCGCUUUCGGGUGUCGCUGAUGGAUGGACCCGCGGUGCAUUAGCUAGUUGGUGAGGUAACGGCUCACCAAGGCCACGAUGCAUAGCCGACCUGAGAGGGUGAUCGGCCACAUUGGGACUGAGACACGGCCCAAACUCCUACGGGAGGCAGCAGUAGGGAAUCUUCGGCAAUGGACGAAAGUCUGACCGAGCAACGCCGCGUGAGUGAAGAAGGUUUUCGGAUCGUAAAACUCUGUUGUUAGAGAAGAACAAGGAUGAGAGUAACUGUUCAUCCCUUGACGGUAUCUAACCAGAAAGCCACGGCUAACUACGUGCCAGCAGCCGCGGUAAUACGUAGGUGGCAAGCGUUGUCCGGAUUUAUUGGGCGUAAAGCGAGCGCAGGCGGUUUCUUAAGUCUGAUGUGAAAGCCCCCGGCUCAACCGGGGAGGGUCAUUGGAAACUGGGAGACUUGAGUGCAGAAGAGGAGAGUGGAAUUCCAUGUGUAGCGGUGAAAUGCGUAGAUAUAUGGAGGAACACCAGUGGCGAAGGCGGCUCUCUGGUCUGUAACUGACGCU